AGAGUUUGAUCCUGGCUCAGAGCGAACGCUGGCGGCAGGCUUAACACAUGCAAGUCGAGCGGACCUUUCGGGGUCAGCGGCGGACGGGUGAGUAACGCGUGGGAACGUGCCUUCCGGUUCGGAAUAACCCUGGGAAACUAGGGCUAAUACCGGAUACGCCCUUAUGGGGAAAGGUUUACUGCCGGAAGAUCGGCCCGCGU
RNAcentral lists this ribosomal RNA (200 nucleotides) under uncultured bacterium. Its description in RNAcentral is "partial 16S ribosomal RNA". It matches the Rfam family "Bacterial small subunit ribosomal RNA", at positions 8 to 236 of the family's 1533-position model. The record is from RNAcentral.